RNAcentral lists this ribosomal RNA (253 nucleotides) under uncultured bacterium. Its description in RNAcentral is "partial 16S ribosomal RNA". It matches the Rfam family "Bacterial small subunit ribosomal RNA", at positions 524 to 776 of the family's 1533-position model. The record is from RNAcentral.
UACGAAGGGGGCUAGCGUUGCUCGGAAUCACUGGGCGUAAAGGGUGCGUAGGCGGGUCUUUAAGUCAGGGGUGAAAUCCUGGAGCUCAACUCCAGAACUGCCUUUGAUACUGAGGAUCUUGAGUUCGGGAGAGGUGAGUGGAACUGCGAGUGUAGAGGUGAAAUUCGUAGAUAUUCGCAAGAACACCGGUGGCGAAGGCGGCUCUCUGGACCGUAACUGACGCUGAGGCGCGAAAGCGUGGGGAGCAAACAGG